AAUCACCAUGGCAUAGUUUAUCAUAAUUAAAGAUCUGAUGCAAUUAAUUAUAAUUUUUUUUUAACAAUGAGUAAUAAAUAAUAAAAAUGAUAACAAUAGAAUUUUAAUAAUGAUUAAUAGGUGUAGGAAAAAUGACAAAUGAAUGCAUUCUUCCAUUUCUUGCAAUAUAUGUAAUGUAUAUUUCCUAACAUUACACAAUUAUAGAAAAUUCAGCUUCUGAAGAAUUAUACAAAAGUUCCUUUCCGAAAUUUCAUAGUUUAUCCAAUGCCACAUGGGUGUUUUUUUUAGGAAGAGGCGCUAGAUUUCCAUAUCAAUAUGACCUCCCCUGUUUCUUGAAAAGUAAUAUUUUUAAAUCUAAUUAUAUUUUCAUUACAUUUCGGUAGAAUGGUGAAUGAAAGCUGGAUGGUUGGAGAACGAAUGGAUUUGUUUCUGAAAACGAAUGCAGAACGCUUUACACGGGAAGAAACGCCCGACUUUGCACCAUGUUAAUCUGCACUGACCCCAUACAGGAACGGAAUGGUUUGCUGAUAACGAGAACUGAACGCUUUAGCCUAGAAACGGUGAACAGUAAAACAGUUUGGUGUGGGAACGAAACAAUUCUGGUCGAGAACGGAACAUUUAGUUUGGGGUAGUGGAACGUUUCGGGGUCUGCAACUGGUUAAAAAAAUUAAAAUGCCUUAUCUUUCUCAUUCAAACCGCACCUGUUGGAACGCUUCUUAACGACAAACCACGCAUACAUCCCAUGUAGCCGUAAACCAUAUUGUGAACAAAUGUACUGCUUUGAGGAUUCCUUCUUUGAUCUAUAUCACGUGAUCUUACCUAAUUCUCGCCAAGACAACAUUCGUAAUUCUAAUGUAGCAUAAUAGCUUGACACAUUGUUGAAGAGAACGUACAUACUUGUAUAUUCAUUAUUACAAAAAAGUGGUAGGAAUUAUGUAACAUUCUAAAUAUAACAGCAGAAAAUAUGUUAACGAUAAUUCCACAAAUCUUAACAGUAACCUGAAAUUAUCUCCUCAAUCCAGAAAUAGAUGCCACAAAAAUACAUACCACAUUACGGAUAAAUCAAAGUUGACAAGCAUCCAUUUGUGUGGGUUUACACUAAAGGUUUCUGCAUACUACAAUAAAAAAUAAACCGAAAUAAUUUUUUAAAGUACGAAUCAAAAUUCAGCACAACUUGAUACAUUUUUUUGUCAUGGAUGAUUUAAUAUAAGAUAACAAUGAUUAUUAAUUUUCAUUUAACAAGGUAUUUCAAUGACAAAGCAUAUUACAUUAAGAUUUAAACCCAUCACCGUUGCUAUCACAUGUUAGUGAUGAUAAAUGAAUUGACAUAAAUGUUGUCCUGAAUACAUUUUUCAGAAACAGAAAGCGGAUUUUCAAAACAGUGUGUUUUAGUGAUAGGUUCUUGCUUUUAUCCUACCUUUACUUACGGAGUACAUGCCUUGUGUAUUUGUAUUAUGGGGAAAUAAAUAAAUAAUUUGC
Ostrea edulis (European flat oyster) is the source of this 1479-nucleotide long non-coding RNA. RefSeq lists it as uncharacterized. The transcript has 2 exons. The record is from RefSeq and is a predicted model, not a curated record. Lineage: Eukaryota; Metazoa; Mollusca; Bivalvia; Ostreida; Ostreidae.